UUGCAAGAUAGCAUAUAACUUAGAUAGUUAAAAUCAUUUACGUCUGCACUUAAAGCCCCUCCUACCGCAUUUAUCACUUGUAUUAUAAAGAAAAAAAGGAUAUCGACACAGUAAUUUUAGAAAACCAUAAAUUUAUUUGAUGAACAAGAAGGCAUAAACUUGAAAUUUAUCAAGCAUUUACUACUUCAGUUUGAUUAAUCAAUAUAAUCAUAAUUACAUGUUUAAUUAGCAACUGAAUGAAAAGCAAAUAUGCAAUAGAGCGAAGACUGGUGGUCACAUCUUUUUCUGUUGAUGUGUUUAGAAUAUAUGCAGUGGUUGAUCUUAUAGCAGUUAAAAGGUUGUGUGAAAUAUAGAGGUUGGUAACUUGGUAGUGACUAGUGAGCAACUGUCAACCAAACACACCUAAUAAAAAAACAUGAAAUUAGAUGAAUAUUAAACAUUAUUAGACAAAUGACCUCAAUGAAAAUGACUUUAGAUUAAUGUCAUCAGAUGUGAGAUUAAGAACACGUAAUGAAAAAAAUUAUAGUAAUUAUAUUUGUCUGCAAACUACAAUACCCACCUCAUGCAUGCAUCUAUCCGUACCAAGAUGUGUGUAUAUAUACAUAGAAAAAACCAGACAGUCUUGUUUGGGUGUGUAUAUAGUUUGACCCUUGAUUGGCACGUACUGAUUAAUAAUAUAUCUCUUAAAAUUAUCAACUUUGCUCAAACAAUAAAAUAAUAUUAACAUGGUAGUUAAAAUAAUAUUAGCAUUGAUGUUUUGGUAAUUAAAAUAAUAUUAGCAUCGCUGUUGUCCUGGAUGAGUAGUGUUUGUAUAUAUUUCAUUUCUUCUGUGAUAUUAUGAUUUUUAGCAUAAAAUAAUCAGAUUUGAUGAUAGAAACUUGGGUUUUGGGAGGAACUUAUCUUUGAAGAUUAAUUAAUAUCUUGUAAUGAAAAUCUACUUGUAGAGAGUAAGUUCAAUUUCGAAUAUUGAGGCAAAUUGAAUGCCAUAUGAUUAUAUGUAUGUGCUCAUGUUACGUCUAUAAUUGAAACAACAUGCAAAAAUCGAUAUCGUUUGACAAUAUAAGAAAUAAUUUAAUUUUUUAUAAAGACAUGCAAGGUCUUUUUAAUUUUUUGAUGUGAGGCAACAAUCCAAAUCCAUAUGGUUAUUGUAACAUCCCACAUCACCCAUGGGAGUGAUCCUUAAAUGUAUAUUCCCAUCCAUACCUAGCACGAGGCCUUUUGGGAGCUCACUGGCUUCGGGUUCCGUAGGAACUCCGAAGUAAAG
This 1264-nucleotide long non-coding RNA is filed under the name Malus domestica (apple). RNAcentral describes it as "long non-coding RNA (MDOM_LNC010814)". Lineage: Eukaryota; Viridiplantae; Streptophyta; Magnoliopsida; Rosales; Rosaceae. The record is from RNAcentral.